RNAcentral lists this ribosomal RNA (402 nucleotides) under uncultured prokaryote. Its description in RNAcentral is "bacterial SSU rRNA". It matches the Rfam family "Bacterial small subunit ribosomal RNA", at positions 355 to 774 of the family's 1533-position model. The record is from RNAcentral.
UAGGGAAUAUUAGAAAUGGACGAAAGUCUGAUCUAGCAACACCGCGUGUGCGAAGAAGGCCUUCGGGUUGUAAAGCACUUUUUGGAAGGAUUAGGAAGGAAUGUACUUCCAGAAUAAGUCUCGGCUAACUACGUGCCAGCAGCCGCGGUAAUACGUAGGAGGCAAACGUUAUCCGGAUUUACUGGGCGUAAAGCGCGUGUAGGUGGUUCUGUAAGUAGGGCGUGAAAGCUCCUGGCUCAACUGGGAGAGGUCGUUCUAAACUGCCGGACUAGAGGAUGGUAGAGGGAGGUGGAAUUCCGGGUGUAGUGGUGAAAUGCGUAGAUAUCCGGAGGAACACCGGUGGCGAAAGCGGCCUCCUGGACCACUUCUGACGCUAAGACGCGAAAGCUAGGGUAGCAAACG